RNAcentral lists this long non-coding RNA (4234 nucleotides) under Gadus morhua (Atlantic cod). Its description in RNAcentral is "lncRNA (ENSGMOG00000031473.1)". The record is from RNAcentral. Lineage: Eukaryota; Metazoa; Chordata; Actinopteri; Gadiformes; Gadidae.
AUAACUGGCCCCACACCGCUGUUUUGCUCCUCAUAGAGACCUGGAGGUCUCUUAGGGAGAAGUUUGAGUGUCCCACCAUAAAAAAAAAACAAGCUUGGGAGAUGGUUGCGGAGUGCCUCAGAAAGGAAGCAGUUAAUGUGACAUGGCAGAUGUGUGACAACAAGUGGAGGAACCUUAGGCACAGAUACAAAAUCAUCAGUGAUGGGCAUGGGAAGACAGGACAGGGCCGGCGAAAGUGGGAGUAUUUUGCCGUGCUGGAAGAACUUUUUGCUGGCGACCCAGCUGUGCAGCCCACAGUAGUCAUCUCCUCAACCCCAACAUUCACAACCCCUCCCCCACCACCACCACCAGAUCAGGAAACACCAUCAACUUCAGCUACCAUGACUACGCCACCGGUGAAGCCGAAAACAAAAAAAGACAAAUUGGAUGACAAAUUAGAGGAAAUCAUUAAAUUACAAAAAGAAACGAUAGCUUUUCAAAAAGAAAGAAAUGACAUCCUUAGGCAAUUCACUGCAGCCAUGGUUCGCAUGUCUCAGGGCAAUGAGCAGUAACUUAUUUAUUUUAUUUUAAUAAUUGACUUUAUCUAACUUAUUCCAUUUAUUAAUUUAUGUAAUUCCAAGGCAAUAUAUAAUAAACACAACAAACAAUAUACUUGACUAAGUAGUGAUUCAUUUAUUAACUCUUUUAGGCCUAUUCUGACCUAUAACAUUGCCGCAAUGUCCUCCCUCUUUUGCUGUGCUGCUCUCCUCUGUACCACCCUAGGCCCAUCUACAGUGGGAAGGACAUCAUCAAGACCAUCGGCGUCCACAAUUACUGCCUCGUCUUCUCCUUCAUGGAUAAGAAUUAAAUUGUGUAGGACACAUGUGCUGGCAAUUACUUUAGGAAUGGUAUCAAGUAGGACCAUGUCAAGGUGGUGGAGUCUUCUCCAUUUGCAUUUUAAAAGUCCAAAGGCACGUUCAAUGUGCACCCUUGUUGAGCUGUGGAUAUUGUUAUAAUUUUUUUGACGCUCAGUUAAAUGUCCAUUGUCUCGGUAUGGGACAAGAAGGUUUGAGUCGAGUGGGUAGGCAGAAUCACCAAGUAAAUGGUACUGGGCAGGGAGGGGAUGAGCCGUCAGCAGGGCCUUUAGGUCACUGUUCCGGUACACCCUUGAAUCAUGUACAGAUCCAGCAUUUCCAGUGUGUAUGUGUGUGAAACGCAACUGGCUGUCACAUACUAGCUGGAAACUAGCAUAUGCCUUUCUGUUAAUGAAAGCAUCUCUAUGGGUUGAUGGCCCUUUGAUGGGGAUGUGACUGCCAUCAAGGCAUCCCAGGACACCAGGGAAACCUCCCUUUCGCUCAAAUCUUUCAGCCGUAGCAGGGUAUUGUUCAGGCGAUGGCCAGCGUAUAUAUCUUGUCACUAAUGCGCUGAGGCCCUCAACUACUUGCAUCACAUAGUAAUGUAAACUGCCCUUGCUGACCCCAAACCUAUCAGCCACUCCUCUGAAGGAUUCUUUGUUGGCUAGCAGCCACAGUGUUGCCAAGAUGCGUAGCUCCAGUGCAGGUUCAUCACAUUGAUUUAGAUGAGGUCCAAGGUCUUGGCAGAGUAUCUAAAAUAGACCAAAAGACAUUUCUUCAUGCAUACAUAGCCCACUUUGUGUAGCCGGGAUAAUAACUAAUGGCGAGGCAGAUGUGUAUCUUAAAUAAACAGAGAGCCUAUGUAACAUUGAUUGUAUCAAACGCUGCUCUCUUCGGCUACGUGACAUUCGUUGCCAUGGCAUUAAACUAAACUAUAUUGAAAUCAUUUACUCCUUUCCUACAAGUAAGUUAACCCUGGGUUAACUUACCCGGUUAUGUGAUGAAACCGGCUUUGUGGAACACCCCACAGAGCGAACAAACUCGGGGUUGCCUCAAAACCAGCUACCUGAAACAGGGCUCAGAGCAACCGAGAGUUAAGGCCGAUAUAUGCUCUGUUUUAGACGUAACGCGUAAGCACGUAAGAUACAUAACCCCCCCUUGCGCGGUAAAAUAUCCCCCCUUACGUGCUUAAGUGCGUCGGCCAAAAUUCCUGACUCAGAGACGUAAGCACGUAAUUUACACAAGGGACUUGUUUUAGACAAGUUUUGAUUUACGGUUCCUUUAAGGUUCCUUAAGGCCUAUUUAUGGUCGUUUUAGACGCAGAGACGUAAGCACGUAAUUUACACAAGGGACUUGUUUUAGACACGUUUUGAUUUACGGUCCCCGUAAGGACUGCGCGUGUUGCAAGGGGAUUCUCCGCCAGAACAGUAGGGGGAGCAACGAACGAAUCUGUGGGCGUGGAAGUGGAAAUCGCUGGCUUGUUUAUAUUUAUAAUCAUAGCCGCGGAAACGUAUUAGGGGUUGGACUCGCUACAUUGAUAAAAAAGAUAUAUAGCAGCGCAGCUCAAUUACACCAGUGCAUGCGCGCACAGUCGAAAAUCGAUCGUUGUGUUUACACCAUGGUUCACAUCCAGCUGCUCACAGAACAAGUUUAGCGCGCCACCGCUCCCCUCAUACUUUUUCAUAUAACUUUUUUUCAGCACUAGGUCAUAUGAGCAUUAAAUAAAUGCUGCGUCUCAAAAUGCCUUGGACAGCAGCGACGAUGACCCGCUUUGCCACGGGCCGAAACAGUGCGGAGCGACCACAGCCAGAGCGAACACAGCGGGGCAGAGGAGUGUCAGGAAUAGUCUUUUGUGUACACAUCAGUACGGCCCAUUUGCACUACUGUUUAGUGGCAAUGCAGUGUUUUAUUAUAUGCCUUUUAAUUUUCGUAUAUUAUUUCAAUGAAUACAAUUUAUUUAUUUAUAAAAACAAGAUCUGGUCUUCAAAUCUUUUUUCCAAACAUAGGUCGGGUUUGUGUUUAUAUUCGGACCAAUACGGUACAGCGGGCGCCCACAUGACGUUAAGCAUUUCCUGGUGCAUAAUGUGACGCUUCAGAACCUAAAAUCCCGUUUCUCCCCGUUGACACAACACAUAACCGGCGUUUUCAGAAAUCUCCACUUUGGCCGGAGUUUUUAUAAUAAAAUAAUCGUUUUCUGUGAUAAGACAGGGCCUCAGACAGGGGGUGCGGCAGCACCCCCAGCACCCCUACUUCCCGCGGUACUGUUUAUAAUUAUCAUAAUUCGUUCUUGUGUUUUCUUCUUCUCCUUCUUCAAAAUACUUCAUUUGCUUCUGUCACAGCCUUUUAAAAAAUGGCGCUAUUAUGCUGUAAAACCGGAAAUGUUGAGACUCCUGAAAGGAUGUGGUUAGCUGGCCAAUCACAGUCCUUACGAGCUGCGUAGGGCCGUAGUGUUUUAGUCGCAUAGUCAGGAAUUUGGGCCGACGCACUUAAGCACGUAAGGGGGGAUAUUUUACUGCGCAAGGGGGGGUUAUGUAUCUUACGUGCUUACGCGUUACGUCUAAAACAGAGCAUAUAUCGCCCUUUAAGGAUUGCGCGUGUUGCAAGGGGAUUCUCCGCCAGAACAGUAGGGGGAGCAACGAACGAAUCUGUGGGCGUGGAAGUGGAAAUCGCUGGCUUGUUUAUAUUUAUAAUCAUAGCCGCGGGAACGUAUUCUCAGCAGGGGGUGCUGGAAAAAAAAAAACUCAGCCUGGACUAGACUCGCAACUCGCUACAUUGAUAAAAAAGAUAUAUAGCAGCGCUAUAUAUCUCAUGCUUAUUAGAAACACGUUUAACGGUGAAUCGGUGCUAAAAUAUUGCAUUUCCCAUUCAGAUAAUAAAGAUUAAUAUAGAUCAUACACAUUCACUUACUGGAGAUUAUGCAAGGAAAAGGCAUAUUUCUCGCUAGAAAUGUUAUUAGAAACACGUUUAAUGGUGUAUCUGUCCUAAAAUAUUGCAUUUCUCAUUCAGAUAAUAAAGAUUAAUAUAGGCUAUACGUAACAAUUUCACCAAAUGCUAGGAGAACGUCUCGCCCCCUGUUGGUGCUAUUCCUCCAUUCAUUUAGAAUGGAGAAGAAAGCGUGUUCUCCUCACGCUUUGGUCAGGCAAAGCGUGACCCUGAACACGCCUUGCGAUGUGGACGAACGUAUCUAUUUCACGCCUUGGCGUGAUACCGGGUGUGUGUGUGUGUGUGUGUGUGUGUGUGUGUGUGUGUGUGUGUGUGUGUGUGUGUGUGUGUGUGUGUGUGUGUGUGUGUGUGUGUGUGUGUGUGUGUGUGUGUGUGUGUGUGUGUGUCGCGUGCGACGCGAGUAUGCCGGUCACGGGUGAAGCACCGCUCGACGCCAAUGUUGUUUUUGUAAAAUCUUG